Molecule: ribosomal RNA, 277 nt
Filed under: uncultured Coprococcus sp.
Lineage: Bacteria; Bacillati; Bacillota; Clostridia; Lachnospirales; Lachnospiraceae
Description: partial 16S ribosomal RNA
Rfam family: Bacterial small subunit ribosomal RNA
Source: RNAcentral
GCAGCCGCGGUAAUACGUAGGGAGCGAGCGUUAUCCGGAUUUAUUGGGUGUAAAGGGUGCGUAGGCGGUUUAACAGGUCUAUGGUCUAAUUCCGAAGCUUAACUUCGGUUCGCCAUAGAAACCGUUUUACUUGAGUAUGGUAGAGGCAAGUGGAAUUUCUAGUGUAGCGGUUAAAUGCGUAGAUAUUAGAAGGAACACCAGUGGCGAAGGCGACUUGCUGGGCCAUCACUGACGCUGAGGCACGAAAGCGUGGGGAGCAAAUAGGAUUAGAUACCCC